This is a long non-coding RNA of Bradysia coprophila, 232 nucleotides long. The record is from RefSeq and is a predicted model, not a curated record. NCBI's taxonomy places the organism in Eukaryota, Metazoa, Arthropoda, Insecta, Diptera, Sciaridae.
UAGUCAUUGAAAAUAGAAACACGAUUAUUGCGUCCAACGAAAAAAAUGAAUCGCUGUUUCUAUGGUUGGAGAGUGGAAGUGAAAACGGACUCGAGGCACGCCAAUAUAUGUUCUUUACAACCAACGAAUUCUGUUGCCGGAUUUCAUUUGUUCAUGUUGGUUUGAAUUGGUGGAAAGGACCGGUAUGGUUGAAAUUACUUCGUGUACAUUGGCUAGGAUAACAAGACUAAAA